This 732-nucleotide long non-coding RNA is filed under the name Rattus norvegicus (Norway rat). Its description in RNAcentral is "long non-coding RNA NONRATT020698". Lineage: Eukaryota; Metazoa; Chordata; Mammalia; Rodentia; Muridae. The record is from RNAcentral.
CUGCGUCGCCAUGGGGACCAUCGCGCGCGGGCGGGGCGCGGGCCUGGAAAAAUACAGCCUUUGUGGCGGCGCGUGUCACUCACGUCCCGGACCUCGGGCGGCGGGCUGGGCUCUGUUGCCCCAGCUGCAAGGCCUUGGCGGAGGGGCCCCAAAGCCAGCACCAGGAUCCCUGGACGCUCUCAAACGCCACAGCCGCUAGCCGGGUGUCACUCUCCAGCACUUCCCGGACCGAGCGUACAGCGGUCUCAUCCUCACAGCCAAUGUCCAGCCCAGAGUAGCACAACACAGGCUCAGUCAAGGCCCGAGAAGACUGGUCCUUAGCUUCGCGCAUCGUUCUGUACAUCUAGUUGUUCUGCGUCCACACUGUCCACAGAUCCGUGCGGGUUCCAAAGGCCUGAGCUGCUGGCGUAAACGUCAGCUACCAGCCACCCAGCAGCUUCAGAAAUACUCCUUAUGGAGUGCGGCCUGCAAAUGCUACGCAUACCAUUCAGGAGUGGCUUCGAACCCCUUUGUUCCGCACCCCCAAACAGCAUCCUCGAAAGCUAGGUACUUGUAGGCCCUCACAGUAAAUUGUCUCGUGCACGCGGCUAGCACACUGCACACACUAGCAGCGUGCUUCCCACGAGGUCACGUGCAGCAUCCUUUCCCGCCUGCCUCUCGCCGGCCUCUUCUCUGGCACUCGCCACGAACACUCACCAUGUGUGUGCGCAGGGUCUCGCACACGUGAACUUU